UACGGAGGGUGCGAGCGUUGUUCGGAAUCACUGGGCGUAAAGGGCGCGUAGGCGGCUUAUCAAGUCAGGCGUGAAAUUCCCGGGCUCAACCUGGGGGCUGCGUUUGAUACGGGCGGGCUUGAGUGCGGAAGAGGGUCGUGGAAUUCCCAGUGUAGAGGUGAAAUUCGUAGAUAUUGGGAAGAACACCGGUGGCGAAGGCGGCGACCUGGUCCGAUACUGACGCUGAGGCGCGAAAGCGUGGGGAGCAAACAGG
This 253-nucleotide ribosomal RNA is filed under the name uncultured bacterium. RNAcentral's name for it is "partial 16S ribosomal RNA". It matches the Rfam family "Bacterial small subunit ribosomal RNA", at positions 524 to 776 of the family's 1533-position model. The record is from RNAcentral.